RNAcentral lists this ribosomal RNA (253 nucleotides) under uncultured bacterium. Its description in RNAcentral is "partial 16S ribosomal RNA". It matches the Rfam family "Bacterial small subunit ribosomal RNA", at positions 524 to 776 of the family's 1533-position model. The record is from RNAcentral.
UACGAAGGGGGCUAGCGUUGCUCGGAAUCACUGGGCGUAAAGCGCACGUAGGCGGAUUCCUAAGUCAGGGGUGAAAUCCUGGAGCUCAACUCCAGAACUGCCUUUGAUACUGGAGAGCUUGAGUCCGGAAGAGGUGAGUGGAACUCCGAGUGUAGAGGUGAAAUUCGUAGAUAUUCGGAAGAACACCAGUGGCGAAGGCGGCUCACUGGUCCGGUACUGACGCUGAGGUGCGAAAGCGUGGGGAUCAAACAGG